CCGGCCCGGAUUGUUCAAAGAGACCAAAUAAUCCUCUUCGUCUCUUCAUUACUCCUCUGUGAUAUCGGGCUUCCCAUAUUCAAGAGUCAUAAAGCUUCAUUAUUAACUGCAACAAUCGAUGGUCAUGCAACUGUUACGAUUCCCUCAACCUCAACUUUAUAUAUACCUCUAUUCGGAAACUCUUGGUCUCACCUAAUUCACCAUAACCAAAUAUUCACAGCAGCAUAUGGCUCUAGUUGGCUACCACUGCCAGAACGGAGCAAUCAACCGGCAUGGCUUUUUUCUUCGGCUAUUCAAUUGAGCAAAGAGAUUUGGGUUUCAUUUCUUGGGGAGAUUUUGAUGCUGAUUGCGAUAACUUGAUGAUUCGUCUUUAGGCCUAAGGAUUGUUUGGAGUAAGCGUUCAAUGCAGUAUCUUCCUUCUCUUAUCUCUAUUAAUCUGAUUACAUAGCAUUCUAGAUCUUUUUCUUUGUUUGUGAUGACUUUUAGGGAUUCCUUGUGAAGAACUCUGAUAAUAAUAAGCUUUAUCGGCCGGUGACGCUGUAUUUGAGGUCAUGCAAUGUUGGUGAGAUUACAAGUUUGGAUCAGACAAGGUCAUAAUUGAUGGGCUACAGAUAUUCAAAUGGUCCGAUUCAUUUUUUUAAGUUCAACCACAAGAAAACAUUCCACAAAUUGUUAUCACGGACUAUACUGCAUGGAGCAAUCGUUUGUGUAGGAGACAGCCUGAACUCUUCUUCCAUCUAUAGUUUCUGACUUUAUAUUACAAAAUUUACAUUUUCUUUUCCUUGACACAGAAAGUUUAAGAAUUCAAGGUUAACAUCAAUGCUUUAUAGUUGCAACUUGAUGGACUAUGUGUGAUGGUAAUUCUUGGCCCCAUCAUCCUGUCAUGAUCUAGGUCUUACUUGGAAACAACAGUCUUUGCGAUGUAGAAAACCAUGAGCUUCAUAGGCUGGUUUAUCUUCUUGUGAGGCCUGGACUUGACCAUCGUAAGAAGGCUGGCGCCAUGAAUUCGUUGAUACAAGUCUCGGGGGUUCUAUCAAUUGUGCCUUAUCUUUUGAAUGUCGGUUGUGAUCACUACAUCUACAAUAGCAAAACUCUAAGAGAAGCAAUGUGUUUUGUGGUAACUUCUAAGUCGGGAAAGGACAUUUGUUAUGUUCACCACUACCCUCAAAGAGACGACAGAUACAUUAAUGGCAACGUUGUAUUCUUCGGUGUAAGUACACAAUACUUCUAUCACCAAAAAGAUAGAAGUAUUAUAGUUCUAUACAACCUUCAGCUUAAUUAACUGCAAUGGAAUCACUACAUCUGUCUGCUGUGAUCACUACAUCUACUUCUAUCCCGACAAGAUGUAUCUGGAUAGAUGGCAAUAGUCCACAUCCUUUUUUUGGUCAAAAUGUUAAAUAUUAUAGUUCACAUCUUCACAAUGAGUUUUGUAAUUGUUCAAUGUGACAAAUGUAUCGCAUAUAUCAUGUAUAUGCAUGUUACAGACACAAGUUGAUGACUGAUUUAUUUGCUGAUA
This is a long non-coding RNA of Raphanus sativus (radish), 1516 nucleotides long. RefSeq lists it as uncharacterized. The transcript has 4 exons. The record is from RefSeq and is a predicted model, not a curated record. NCBI's taxonomy places the organism in Eukaryota, Viridiplantae, Streptophyta, Magnoliopsida, Brassicales, Brassicaceae.